This 647-nucleotide ribosomal RNA is filed under the name uncultured cyanobacterium. RNAcentral describes it as "bacterial SSU rRNA". It matches the Rfam family "Bacterial small subunit ribosomal RNA", at positions 66 to 754 of the family's 1533-position model. The record is from RNAcentral. Lineage: Bacteria; Bacillati; Cyanobacteriota.
ACGAAGUCUUCGGACUGAGUGGCGGACGGGUGAGUAACGCGUGAGAAUCUGCCUAGAGGUCGGGGACAACCAUUGGAAACGAUGGCUAAUACCGGAUAUGCCUUACGGGGUGAAAGAUUAAUUGCCUUUAGAAGAGCUCGCGUCUGAUUAGCUAGUUGGUGAGGUAAGAGCUCACCAAGGCAGCGAUCAGUAGCUGGUCUGAGAGGAUGACCAGCCACACUGGGACUGAGACACGGCCCAGACUCCUACGGGAGGCAGCAGUGGGGAAUUUUCCGCAAUGGGCGAAAGCCUGACGGAGCAAGACCGCGUGAGGGAGGAAGGCUCUUGGGUUGUAAACCUCUUUUGUCAGGGAAGAACAAAAUGACGGUACCUGACGAAUCAGCAUCGGCUAACUCCGUGCCAGCAGCCGCGGUAAUACGGAGGAUGCAAGCGUUAUCCGGAAUUAUUGGGCGUAAAGCGUCCGCAGGUGGCUGAUCAAGUCUGCGGUCAAAGACCGGGGCUUAACCCUGGAAAGGCCGUGGAAACUGAUAGAGCUAGAGUACCGUAGGGGUAGAGGGAAUUCCCGGUGUAGCGGUGAAAUGCGUAGAGAUCGGGAAGAACAUCGGUGGCGAAAGCGCUCUACUGGACGGUGACUGACACUCAGGGAC